Molecule: ribosomal RNA, 456 nt
Filed under: uncultured microorganism
Description: bacterial SSU rRNA
Rfam family: Archaeal small subunit ribosomal RNA
Source: RNAcentral
GUGCACCAGGCGAGAAACCUCCGCAAUGCUCGAAAGAGCGACGGGGGGACUCCAAGUGCCUACGCUCAGCGUAGGCUGUUCCCGAGCCUAAAAAGCUCGGGGAGUAAGGGCUGGGUAAGACGGGUGCCAGCCGCCGCGGUAAUACCCGCAGCCCGAGUGGUGGCCGCUAUUAUUGGGCCUAAAGCGUCCGUAGCCGGCUCGGUAAAUGCCUGGGUAAAUCGUCUGGCCCAACCAGACGAAUUCCGGGUAGAUUGCCGGGCUAGGGACCGGAGGAGGGAGAGGGUACUCCAGGGGUAGGGGUGAAAUCAGCAAGGUGAGUUGCUGAUGUAACUUGCCUUGCAAGUCACAAUCCUGUAAUCCCUGGAGGACCACCGGUGGCGAAGGCGCUCUCCUAGGACGGUCGACGGUGAGGGACGAAAGCCAGGGGAGCAAAACCGGAUUAGAUACCCCUGUAGU